ACUUGGCCAUACAUAUAUCCUCACCCUUACCUUAGCCCCAUUACAACCCUGAAAAGACCUCAUGAUGUUUGCAUUGGUAUACUAAAUAUUUGUUGAUUGGUUAGAUGAAGAACAAAGUUUUAGAAAGCAUGACUAGAGAAGAGUAGAGUGAUUAACCCCAUACACUUGAGUGAUUAGAGUGCAUAUACACCAUCAGUGAGGGUUCAAUGCUUGAUUCUAUGUUCCCUACUUUCAUGAGCUGUCUUCUUACAAGUUUACUUGUCUUU
RNAcentral lists this long non-coding RNA (266 nucleotides) under Arachis ipaensis. Its description in RNAcentral is "long non-coding RNA (AIPA_LNC000346)". The record is from RNAcentral. Lineage: Eukaryota; Viridiplantae; Streptophyta; Magnoliopsida; Fabales; Fabaceae.